CCAGCAGCCGCGGUAAUCCCAGCUCAGUAGCGUAUAUUAAAGUUGUUGCAGUUAAAAGCUCGUAGUUGAAUUUCGGGACUAAUAUGUCGUCGUACUUUGUACGUACUAGCAUUAUGGUUUCUCCCUUCUGACGAACCACGAUGUCAUUAAUUUGGUGUCGUGGGAAAUCAGGACUGUUACUUUGAAAAAAUUAGAGUGUUUAAAGCAAGCUCGCGCUUGAAUACAUUAGCAUGGAAUAAUGAAAUAGGACGUUUGAUUCUAUUUUAGUUGGUUUCUAGGGAUCGACGUAAUGAUUAAUAGGGAUAUUGGGGGGCAUUAGUAUUCAAUUGUCAGAGGUGAAAUUCUUGGAUUUAUUGAAGACUAACUACUGCGAAAGCAUUUGCCAAGGAUGUUUUCAUUAAUCAAGAACAAAAGUUAGGGGAUCGAAGACGAUCAGAUACCGUCGUAGUCUUAACCAUAAACUAUGCCGACUAGGGAUCGGAUGAUGUUAAUUUUUUAAUGACUCAUUCGGCGCCUUACG
Molecule: ribosomal RNA, 520 nt
Filed under: uncultured Glomus
Lineage: Eukaryota; Fungi; Glomeromycota; Glomeromycetes; Glomerales; Glomeraceae
Description: SSU rRNA
Rfam family: Eukaryotic small subunit ribosomal RNA
Source: RNAcentral